This is a long non-coding RNA of Microtus oregoni (creeping vole), 2367 nucleotides long. RefSeq lists it as uncharacterized. The record is from RefSeq and is a predicted model, not a curated record. NCBI's taxonomy places the organism in Eukaryota, Metazoa, Chordata, Mammalia, Rodentia, Cricetidae. The transcript is spliced from 3 exons.
AGGAUGUUCAUCACUCACCGUCACAGAACAACGGUAUGCGCGCUGAGAGAGCCGCUCGCUAUGCCAAGCAUGGCGACGUAAGCGCUCUCGUUUAAACUUCAUCGCAACAGGACGAAAGAUGCCAGGCAUAGUGAUGAGUGUCCUGUUCUCAUCUCACCCAAGCACAUCUGCAAAGACCCGGUUUCCACGCAGGACUGAAUUCUGAGCUGCCUCGGGCACCAUGAGUUCAGCCCAUGGAUUAAUUUAACCCAUCGCAAGUGGGGUUCUGCCUCCAGAAGCCAGGAGCACAUUUAGAUCAUACACGUAUGCCUCCCCCAAGGAGUCCUCCUGAAAAUUACAAACCGUCGCGCCCAGCCCUUUGAGGAGGUACCAGUUCCCACAUUAUCUUACUUGCAGCUCAGGUGUGACCGGCCCCACCCUGGGUGAGAGGGUAACCGUGAACAACAGUCUCUGGGAGGUCAUGAAGGAGUGAACUAACAUGAGACAGAGGUUAAAAACAGCUCCAGCAGCAGUGGGAAGUAGAGCGUUAGACAACCUUUGGCCUUUGUGACUUUGAUUUUCAAACAGCACCCAGGAGGUCACAAGGUCUUUAUGACACAGCUUUCCACUUUGCACCCUGGAAAUUUCCGACCCUGGGGAAGUGUGCCCAUACACGGUGAUAUACUUCUUUCUUCUCUCCAGUCAGACCUUCAGAAGCUUCCAGAAAGAAGCCUGGGGAGGGUCCUGUGAGGACCUGGGAUGUAGUCCUGUCUGUGCCUGUACUGUCUUUCAAAGCAGCUGGGUGACUCAGGAAGCCACACAAGGAACUUGAGCCCCCAUUUUCUCAUCUGCACAACAGGAAUGAGAAGGAACAGUUGUCCUGCCUGCCGUCUAAUAGAGUGAGGGCCAGUCUAAGAGGAGCAACUGGCCUUGGGGUGCAGGAAGGCUUUUGGGACACUAGGUCCCAUCAGUUGCUGAGUUUGCCCUCACUGCACAAGCACUCCAGACACCUGGAAGAGGUAUCAGCUGUUGUCAGACCUUUGCUUGGUACCUGGGUGUGGUUCCCAAGUGGGCAGUGUCAGCAUGGAGAGGUGGAAAAAUUCUGAUUCUUGGGGGCUGGUGAGAUGACCCAGUGGAUAAAGGCACUUGCUGUCUAAUUCUAUGCCCCGAGUUCCAUCCCUUCAGAACCCACAAGGUAGAGAAGGAGAGAACUGACUGUGGAUGAAUUUGCCCUUUGACCUCCACUCACAUAUGCACAGCCACGCCCCCACCUCCAACAAAUAAAUGAACAAAUGUAUAUUUUUUAAAAAGCUGACUCCAAGAAUUAUUAAACUGAAUAUGUAUUAUAACAAGAACCCUAAGAGAUCUAUGCACUCGUUCAACUUUGAAGAGCACAGCUUCCGGGGCAUCGUUCCUGCUGUGGGUCCAUUCCAGGCCUCUGAUGAGCGUGAGGGCCUUACUUUCUCUAGGAAGAUGGUGCCCCUCCUCCAGCCCUAGCUCCAGGCACAGCACAGGGACUGAGCUGUUCUUAAAUUAGCCCAGAUGACAGUGGGACUCACUUCCAGAGCUGAAGAUCAAAGACACCGGCUUCAUGCAUAUCGUUCAGUUGAGGAUGGAAGCCUGGAGCUGGGAGCCAUGUUGGUCACCACUACAGCGAGUCCAGGAAGAGUCCUCGAAGAGAGGAAGGGAUGAGCUGCAGACAGAGAGAAUCCCUCCUGCCCACAUCUCCUGAGCUCCCGGUUUUGCCCUCCCCUUCACAGACGGACCCGUGCUUCCCAGCUCUUGUAAGAUCGGAAGAACAGGACUGAAUGAGUGGGCAGGGGUGAGGGGUGUCUGACAAGGCCCAAGAUGGCUAAAGUCAAGCCCCCACACUGGAGCCCUAAGGUGGAGCAGCUGGCGAGGGACAGUCUUUCAGACAGGGGGUCCUGCCUGCACCCCCUGCAGAGCAGGUACAGGGGGACCUCAAACUCAUUCCUGGAAAUGCAGAUCCUUUCAAACAAUGAAAAGAACGCUGACUUUUCCACAUCUUAUCUUCUAUACACCCUGCCUGUAGGAUCUAGGGAACAUGAACUCAGAAAUGCAUGGGGAAGCAUAACGCUGACUGAUGCCCAGAGAACCAGACAUGCACAAACGAGAUGCUGGGCCCAAAAUUAGGAGCAGUUUCCAUUGCUUCCCAUGGCACACUGCUUGUUCACAAUCUCACUAACUCUGUGGACAGCGAAAAAUACAAUGAAACUGGUUGUUACCUUUGGGGAAAAAAGGUAAAACAGUGGGAAAUGAAUGUGUAAACUUAAGUUUGAUGUUUAGUUUGUCUACAAAUUAACACCUGCUGAUCUGAACUUGUAUUCGAUAACUGACUCCAGACAGACAGCUGGGGAAAUAACUAGG